GGAUGUGGGGUUCUCUGUGUGUGUCUUCUUGUAUUUACUUUUUAGCUUGUAGAAUAGAUGUCCGCUUGUAGGACAGAUGGCGUGACCGGAUCGGUCCUUAUAAGGCAGACAAUGUGAAUGGUGGAAAAGAGAGCACAGGAAAAAUGAAGAUAAAAUUGUAUCUGAGAUAACACACCUGCGACCGAAGGGAGAGCCAGUUUGAACCCAUUUUCAGGGCAAGGCCGAAGGCUGCAGGAGAGAGUACCAGACACUCAUUGUUCGGGGAAGGCGUUUGUUACAGAAGGAUGAACUGGGUUGAACCAACGUUCAAGGGCACCAGAGGGAUUAAAACAGUGGAUUCUUCUAUCAACCAACUCGGGUGGAUAAGGAAUAUCCUAACAAUUUUGGGGGCUCGUCCGGGAUAGGAGUUUUCCUGCAGGGGGAAUUCGGUCCAAGAGCUUUCACCUGCUGAACACUGCGUACUCCCAGGCCGGCCUCAAAACAAGGUAAGCAGAAACCUGUUACUAAUUCUGCAUAUUGAUUAAUCUAAAAUAAGGAGUACGCUGUGGAUUGGUGGUGAAGGAACCAAAUUGAUACAUGAGCAAUUCGCUAAAGUUAAUAUUAAGGAAACCGGUAAAAGUGCACAACAAUAGUACCGGCGAGUACUAUUGGGUUUAGUAGGUACCGGCGAGUACCAAGGGAUCUUCUAUCCGACACAAAUUAAAGGAUCAGGGAUCCUAUUGGGUUUAGUAGGUACCGGCGAGUACUAUUGGGUUUAGUAGGUACCGGCGAGUACCAAGGGAUCUUCUAUCCGACACAAAUUAAAGGAUCAGGGAUCCUAUUGGGUUUGGUGGGUACCGGCGAGUACCAAGGGAUCAAUGAUCUGACACAAAUAAAAGGAUUUUGAAUCCUGUCUUUGGUUUGGCAACCCCAUCAGUUCCUGACGAGGGCUGAAGUCGCUAGGUGAGUGUCCUGGGGAUUUGAGGACCCCCGAAAACUGGUCUUUGGUUUGGCAACCCCAUCAGACCCUGACGAGGGCUGAAGUCGCUAGGUGAGUGUCCUGGGGAUUUGAGGACCCCCGAAAACUGGUCUUUGGUUUGGCAACCCCAUCAGACCCUGACGAGGGCUGAAGUAGCUAGGUUGGAGUCCUGGGGAUUUGAGGACCCCCGAAUCCCAGGGUUGGAGUCCCUAGGAGUAAAAGCUCCUUAAAUCCUGGGCUGCAGUCUCUGAGCAGCUCGUGUGUGUGUGUGUGUGUGUGUGUGUGGGUGCAAGCAAGCAGGAGAGUAAAAAAAAAAGAAAAAAAAAGGGGAAACUGAGAACAUAGACUGUCCGAGAGGUUAACAUAAACUUUCGGUGUAAUACAUUGAUUCUCGGAAGGUUAAGAUAAACUUCCGUUGUAAUACAUUGAUUCUCGGAAGGUUAAGAUAAACUUCCGUUAUAAUGCAUUGAUUUCGAAGGGUUAAAAUAAACCUUCGUUACAAUAAAAGAAUUCUGGAAGUAUAACAUAAGUUCUCAGAACAAACGGGGAAGCUUGCUGGAGCUGCGGAGAACAUUUACUGUGUCACACUGAGGUGACCAGCUGUCCGAGCGGGUUAAAGCGAUAUAACUGGGAACUGUUGUUGGAAUGGAAGAUGAAUAUGAUCGGGAAACUGUUGACGGCGGCUGGGGGCCAGCGCCGGGGUAUCGAUGGAAAAUAAUAAACGACCAGCUGAGGCUGUUGUUGGUGGCGGUGGGUGGAGAAACCACCGGGAAAAAGAAGCAUGAGGCUGUGGAGCGCACGGAACGCGCGGUGAGAAAGUUGUUAGAAAAGAAAGGCGUUAGUUUGGCAGACAGGCUGUCACUGGCGCAGAUUUUGUGGGAGAAGGAGAGAGAUUGUAGAGAAGAAAAGAAGGAGCUUGAGUCGAAACGCGAGAAGGCGAGUGUGUUGAAAAAAGGAAAACUUCGUAAAGAGAUGGAGGAUGUGGAGGACAUGAGGUCCGCAUUGUUUUCGUACUGGAUAAAAAGUAAAGCCGUGGGGAGAAAUAACCAGGAACGGUGUAAUGAGGAAAGACCACCGGCAUACGAUGUUGAAAUAAACGGUGUGAAUUCGGCUUCUGCACCUGCUGGGUUGUAUCCUGUAUUAAAUAUAACGGGGGGAGAGUUGGAAGUUGAAGAAAGUGUACCACUGCGGGGUUGUCGGGGCAACGAGGUAACGGGGGAAAGCCGGCCUUUCGAAGCGCGUCAAAAUCGGGAGGGGUUUAAAGAAUGGACGGACUCACGCACUCCGGGGAGAAGGGACAGCUCAGAAGUGCAGCGGAGAAAUAAGGCGGAUAAGGGAAAGUAUUUAGCCGGGGCGAAUGAGCGGGUGAAAACACAAUUGAGAUACGGGGAAUCACCAGACAUGGGGGAGAGAGGAAAAAAAGGCUCUGCCUCGGCUCAGGAGGAGCAAAACGGGGAAUGCGGGGAUAACAGCGACCCAGAGAUUCACGGGGAACCGGGAAAAAUGUAUCCGUUAUUCAUGUCUUCUUGAGGGGUUAAUAAAUACAAGCCGUGGUCACUGGGAGACGUGUCCGCUCUAGUCGCGCAAAUGCCUGCACCAUCUGAAGGGGGAGAUAAGUGGCUAAAACAACUCGAUACGCUUACUAACGGACACACGCUGGCGCUCGGCGACUUUAGGGCUGUAGCAGCCAGAUGCAUGACCGCACAUGAUUUAGCGGACGUGGAAAACAGAGCGGGGGUGACCCGACAAGCCGAUGACGACAGAUUUUUGUAUUUCGCGACGGAGAUCGGGGACGCAAUGCGCGAGAAAUGGCCACUUCUAAUGUCGACUAAAAUACCGAAAUUACCAUGGGACGCGAAGAAAACCCCGCGCGCGUAUUUGGACGAAUGUAAAGAGACCUGGGUAAAAAGCACUAGCCAUCAUCCGGGAACGGAGGGCAUACAGAGAGAAUGGUUCAGACAGGCGGUGCUGGAGGGAGUACCAGAGGGGGUAAAAGCUAAAAUGAUCACUAAUCCAGACUUGCCAGGAAGUGAAUCUGCUGUGUGGGAAAGACAUUUACUGCACCAUUUACAGGACGCGACUGAGGAAGCGACAGGGGAAGAGAAGCAGCUAAAAGAAUUACAGGCUCAGCUUCUUAGGCUUCAGCUCACUAAGGUCAAACAGGAAGUGAGCGACAAGAAGCAGAAAGGGAAAGACGAGCGACAGAUGACAGUCCAGGCUGCCCCAGCUGAAGGUGUCCAGAGACCACGGAAGGGAGAAGACCGACCAUCCCCACACAGCUAUCCUUCUUGAGAAACUUCCAGACUACCUCUGGUCCGAAGGCCCGACUGACAUUUUGCGGUCCAGGUGCAAGACAGAACCGGAGGGCAGAACACCCCUGAUCCCCACACAACAGCCUGGGUCCUCCUGAGGGUCAUUAAGAGGAAGUGGUCGGAGCCACGGUGGACAGGACCAUACCAGGUGGAGGAGAGAACCUCACACGCUGUGAGGCUGAGAGGAAAAGGGGACACCUGGUACCACUGGAGCCAGUGCGCCCCUGCGGACGAACCGGGUCGCACUCUUCAGGACAUCCUGACAACGCAGCAGAAAGAGACGGAACUGGGCGCUGGAUAGUGCCCGGACGUGCUCUCGGCGGGCAGUGACCGACAGACACCCAGUGCAUGGUGUUCUGUGUUGACUGUCUACAACGAAAGAAGAAGACCAGCGACGAAGAAAUGCACAAUGCUAUCCUCUCCUCUCCUCUGUUCUAUCUUUCUCAAUUCUCCGCAGUUAGUUUAGUUGAAAUAGAGAAUGUUGAGUACGCUUAAUAUUUCCAUAAUUGCUAUGGGGGGGGGGGGGGGUAACGGUUGUUAUUGCAUUAGCUCUUAUAUACUUAGCUGUCACAGGUUCCACCUUGUUUGUUUGAGUGUUAUUACAGUGUUGAUACUAUAUAGCUUGGGUUGUUUUGGGGUAUAUCUUUCUGUGAGUUGUUUGUGAAAUCUGGUGGAAAGGGAGCGAGCCACAGUAAGCGACAGAACCAACACUUGGGGGUCCCUUCUCAAAGUCAGACACGAAAAGACAGGGCGUGGCGUAAGGUAAGAGGUUUAAAGGUCCGGGGGGAGGCCCUCCUCCAUCAGUAUUGAAGGGCGGAGAGGACUUAGAGGAGGAGGUCGACCCGGCAGACUUACUCCAUUAGUUAGGGUGAUCUCUGUAAGAGAUCAAAAGGGGGAAAUUGUGGGAUGUGGGGUUCUCUGUGUGUGUCUUCUUGUAUUUACUUUUUAGCUUGUAGAAUAGAUGUCCGCUUGUAGGACAGAUGGCGUGACCGGAUCGGUCCUUAUAAGGCAGACAAUGUGAAUGGUGGAAAAGAGAGCACAGGAAAAAUGAAGAUAAAAUUGUAUCUGAGAUAACACACCUGCGACCGAAGGGAGAGCCAGUUUGAACCCAUUUUCAGGGCAAGGCCGAAGGCUGCAGGAGAGAGUACCAGACACUCAUUGUUCGGGGAAGGCGUUUGUUACAGAAGGAUGAACUGGGUUGAACCAACGUUCAAGGGCACCAGAGGGAUUAAAACAGGUCAGUGCCAGAAGGCAGGCGGACUUUGGAAGGGAUUUGCUUGCGAUGCGUAUUUCAUUGUCUCCAGAUAUAUCUGCGGAGAAUUGCUCAUGUACAACUUUUUCUCUUCUAAAUAAAUGUUAAACUUUUUAA
RNA transcript from Pungitius pungitius (ninespine stickleback), 4639 nucleotides. RefSeq lists it as uncharacterized. The transcript is spliced from 4 exons. Lineage: Eukaryota; Metazoa; Chordata; Actinopteri; Perciformes; Gasterosteidae. The record is from RefSeq and is a predicted model, not a curated record.